CCGCCGCGGGGUCAAGUGGGCUGACCGGCCAGUGGACGCCCGCAGGGGAGGGGGCGCCCCGCUCCUCCCUGGUCCUGUACAAGCCUCUCACGGUUGAUGGGGUCUCUCUCCCCUGAAGAUUCCCCACCUGAAGUCUGCUCUGCUCUGAAAUAAACCCAUCCCACCAUGGACACCUACAGCUCAGUCCCUACCUCUGAGACCCCGCCUGGCCUCGCGGGUGCGCACUUGACCUUGCGCUGUGGUCCUGUGGUGAAGGUUUAUCUUGUCUUCCUGGACAGAUGAACAGAUGAGGAACCUGAAGCUGAGACUAAGGGACUUCCCGAGGCUGCAGUCAGGCAGCAACAAGGCUGGGAUCAAGCUUGAGAGUAUCUUCCACCAACGCUCUGGUCAUCUGGUAGACCAGGGGCCUCCAGGGUGGGCCUCAGUGUCACCCAGCUCAGCUCCAGUCUAGGGUGCCUCGCCUCCCCGUCCGACAUUCUGCGGGGAGAUGCAGCGGGGUGCAGACAGCUGAGGUGAGUGUCCUCCGGCAGAGCGGACACCUGGGCAGGGAUUGGGGAAGGCUAGACU
This is a long non-coding RNA of Talpa occidentalis (Iberian mole), 567 nucleotides long. RefSeq lists it as uncharacterized. The record is from RefSeq and is a predicted model, not a curated record. The transcript is spliced from 3 exons. NCBI's taxonomy places the organism in Eukaryota, Metazoa, Chordata, Mammalia, Eulipotyphla, Talpidae.